UUAGGUCGACCCGCUGAAUUUAAGCAUAUCAUUAAGCGGAGGAAAAGAAACUAACAAGGAUUCCCCUAGUAGCGGCGAGCGAAGAGGGAAAAGCCCAGAACCGAAUCCUGCAAAUUUAUUUGCUAGGAAAUGUGGUGUUUGGUUCAAUUCGUACGACUUACUGAUCUAGUACUAAGUCCACGUGAUUGUGGCAUUAAGCCCACAGAGGGUGUAAGGCCCGUAAGUACUAGUCGGUUUGUCCAUGAGUUGUUCCUAGAGUCGGGUUGCUUGGGAAUGCAGCCCAAAUUGGGUGGUAAACUCCAUCCAAGGCUAAAUACAACACGAGUCCGAUAGCAAACAAGUACCAUGAGGGAAAGUUGAAAAGAACUUUGAAGAGAGAGUUCAAUAGUGCGUGAAACCGCUCAGUGGUAAGCAGGCAGAGCUGAAGAGAGAUUUUCGUAUUGAAAUUUCGUUUGCUUUGCUUUAGGUUUGUAUGAUCAUUAAGACAUCUGGCUUAAAGUUUAAGUAAAUGUUGUUUUUUUGCGUUAAUCUGACACUACGGCCGGUAACAAGAAAGGCUUAGCGUUUGUUAAAGGUAGCUCUAAACUUGUUUAGAGUGUUAUAGUAACAAGUCAUAACGCCUUUCGAAUACCGUUUUGCAAAUUGUCGUUACUUGUCAUAUGGCUUGCUUAGUUGAAGGAAAACGUGGUACAUCAUUAAAAGAUGUGCCAUGUUUUUUAACUUCAUGGUAAGUCCUCUAUGAAAAGUAAAACAGUUGUAGUGGAAUUGUAGGCAUCUGCCUGACCCGUCUUGAAACACGGACCAAGGAGUUUAGCUCAUGCGCAAGUCAUUGGGUCUUACGAAACCUAAAGGCGUAGUGAAGGUAAAGGCUUGACUUAAUCAAGCUGAGGUAGGAUCUCAAUUGUAAUGUGUGUAAACACAUAUAUUGAGCGCACUACCAGCUCGUCUCAUACUUUUUAAGUGAGGCGAAGCAAGAGCGUAUGGGCUGAGACCCGAAAGAUGGUGAACUAUGCUUGUGUAGGUUGAAGCCAGAGGAAACUCUGGUGGAGGACCGUAGCGAUUCUGACGUGCAAAUCGAUCGUCAAACAUGAGUAUAGGGGCGAAAGACUAAUCGAACCAUCUAGUAGCUGGUUCCCUUCGAAGUUUCCCUCAGGAUAGCUGGCACUCGGGAAUCAAACAGUUUUAUCCGGUAAAGCGAAUGAUUAGCAGUAUUGGGGAUGAAAUAUCCUCAACUGAUUCUCAAACUUUAAAUGGGUGAGAAGCUCUACUCUCUUAAAUAUGGAGUUGAGCAUUGAAUGUGAGUGCCUAGUGGGCCAUUUUUGGUAAGCAGAACUGGCGCUGUGGGAUGAACCAAACGUCUGGUUACGGAGCCAAACAUAACGCUCAUGAGAAACCACAAAAGGUGUUGGUUGAUUUUGACAGCAGGACGGUGGCCAUGGAAGUCGGAAUCCGCUAAGGAGUGUGUAACAACUCACCUGCCGAAUCAACCAGCCCUGAAAAUGGAUGGCGCUCGAGCGUUGGUCCUAUACCAGACCGUUACCGCAAAUUGCAAUGUAUGCGGUAACGAGUAGAAGGGCGCCGUGGUAAGCAUUGAAGCUUCGGUCGUGAGACUGGGUGGAGCUGCCACGGGUGCAGAUCUUGGUGGUAGUAGCAAAUAUUCAAGUGAGAACCUUGAAGACUGAUGUGGAGAAGGGUUCCUGGUGAACAGC
RNAcentral lists this ribosomal RNA (1709 nucleotides) under Itaipusa karlingi. RNAcentral describes it as "partial large subunit ribosomal RNA". It matches the Rfam family "Eukaryotic large subunit ribosomal RNA", at positions 16 to 1521 of the family's 3401-position model. The record is from RNAcentral. Lineage: Eukaryota; Metazoa; Platyhelminthes; Rhabdocoela; Koinocystididae.